GACGGAGGGUGCAAGCGUUGUUCGGAAUCACUGGGCGUAAAGCGCGUGUAGGCGGUUGAGUAAGUCGGAUGUGAAAGCCCGGAGCUUAACUCCGGAAGUGCAUUCGAAACUGUUCGGCUCGAGUACGGGAGAGGGAAGUGGAAUUCCUGGUGUAGAGGUGAAAUUCGUAGAUAUCAGGAGGAACACCGGUGGCGAAGGCGGCUUCCUGGACCGAUACUGACGCUGAGACGCGAAAGCGUGGGGAGCAAACAGG
RNAcentral lists this ribosomal RNA (253 nucleotides) under uncultured bacterium. RNAcentral's name for it is "partial 16S ribosomal RNA". It matches the Rfam family "Bacterial small subunit ribosomal RNA", at positions 524 to 776 of the family's 1533-position model. The record is from RNAcentral.